RNAcentral lists this ribosomal RNA (328 nucleotides) under Salmonella enterica subsp. enterica serovar Typhimurium. Its description in RNAcentral is "partial 23S ribosomal RNA". It matches the Rfam family "Bacterial large subunit ribosomal RNA", at positions 357 to 688 of the family's 2925-position model. Lineage: Bacteria; Pseudomonadati; Pseudomonadota; Gammaproteobacteria; Enterobacterales; Enterobacteriaceae. The record is from RNAcentral.
AUACAGGGUGACAGCCCCGUACACAAAAGCGCAUGUGCUGUGAGCUCGAUGAGUAGGGCGGGACACGUGGUAUCCUGUCUGAAUAUGGGGGGACCAUCCUCCAAGGCUAAAUACUCCUGACUGACCGAUAGUGAACCAGUACCGUGAGGGAAAGGCGAAAAGAACCCCGGCGAGGGGAGUGAAAAAGAACCUGAAACCGUGUACGUACAAGCAGUGGGAGCACAGGUUUACCUGUGUGACUGCGUACCUUUUGUAUAAUGGGUCAGCGACUUAUAUUCUGUAGCAAGGUUAACCGUAUAGGGGAGCCGGAGGGAAACCGAGUCUUAAC